GGGUUAUGUGAAUACCAGGGCUGGCUUCUAACCGGUGGCUGCGACGGGUUAAUGUCCGUUGAUGACUCA
RNAcentral lists this transfer RNA (69 nucleotides) under Pteria penguin. Its description in RNAcentral is "tRNA-Ser". The record is from RNAcentral. Lineage: Eukaryota; Metazoa; Mollusca; Bivalvia; Pterioida; Pteriidae.